UACGGUGGGAGCAAGCGUUGUUCGGAUUUACUGGGCGUAAAGGGCGCGUAGGCGGCCAGCACAAGUCAGUUGUGAAAUCUCCGAGCUUAACUCGGAAAGGUCAACUGAUACUGUGCGGCUAGAGUGCAGAAGGGGCAACUGGAAUUCUCGGUGUAGCGGUGAAAUGCGCAGAUAUCAGGAGGAACACCGGUGGCGAAGGCGGGUCUCUGGGCCGAUACUGACGCUGAGGAGCGAAAGCGUGGGGAGCGAACAGG
RNAcentral lists this ribosomal RNA (254 nucleotides) under uncultured bacterium. RNAcentral's name for it is "partial 16S ribosomal RNA". It matches the Rfam family "Bacterial small subunit ribosomal RNA", at positions 524 to 776 of the family's 1533-position model. The record is from RNAcentral.